RNAcentral lists this ribosomal RNA (400 nucleotides) under phytoplankton environmental sample. Its description in RNAcentral is "partial small subunit ribosomal RNA". It matches the Rfam family "Eukaryotic small subunit ribosomal RNA", at positions 587 to 987 of the family's 1831-position model. The record is from RNAcentral.
AGCUCCAAUAGCGUAUAUUAAAGUUGCUGCGUUUAAAAAGCUCGUAGUUGGAUCUCAGUCUCGAUCGGUCGGUCCAUCCUCUGGGUGGUUACUGGCUCAAUCGGACGUUGUUGGCCACGCUUCCGAGCAUGCUCUUCAUUGAGUGUGUUCCGGAGAGUGGAGCGUUUACUUUGAAAAAAUUAGAGUGCUCAAAGCAGGCGUUGUGCCUGGAUAGUCGUGCAUGGAAUGAUGGAAUAGGGCCUCGGUUCUAUUUUGUUGGUUUCCGGAAUUCGAGGUAAUGAUUAAUAGGGACGGACGGGGGCAUUUGUAUUGCGACGUUAGAGGUGAAAUUCUUAGAUCGUGGCAAGACAAACUACUGCGAAAGCAUUUGCCAAGAAUGUUUUCAUUAAUCAAGAACGAA